CUGGCCCUCAGACUACAGGUAGGAGAGAGACUGGCCCUCAGACUACAGGUAGGAGAGAGACUGGCCCUCAGACUACAGGUAGGAGAGAGACUGGCCCUCAGACUACAGGUAGGAGAGAGACUGGCCCUCAGACUACAGGUAGGAGAGAGACUGGCCCUCAGACUACAGGUAGGAGAGAGACUGGCCCUCAGACUACAGGUAGGAGAGAGACUGGCCCUCAGACUACAGGUAGGAGAGAGACUGGCCCUCAGACUACAGGUAGGAGAGAGACUGGCCCUCAGACUACAGGUAGGAGAGAGACUGGCCCUCAGACGACUACAGGUAGGAGAGAGACUGGCCCUCAGACGACUACAGGUAGGAGAGAGACUGGCCCUCAGACGACUACAGGUAGGAGAGAGACUGGCCCUCAGACUACAGGUAGGAGAGAGGGGCGGAAACAGAGACAGACGGCGAAUAAGAAAGCUGUCCUGUCAAAUGAUUGCAACAUGAUUGUCACAGCUCUUAAAAAGGAUGUUUCUUCCUCAUCCAUCUGUCUCUCGCUGUCUCUCUCUCUCUCUCU
This is a long non-coding RNA of Oncorhynchus keta (chum salmon), 559 nucleotides long. RefSeq lists it as uncharacterized. The transcript is spliced from 4 exons. Lineage: Eukaryota; Metazoa; Chordata; Actinopteri; Salmoniformes; Salmonidae. The record is from RefSeq and is a predicted model, not a curated record.